This is a long non-coding RNA of Gallus gallus (chicken), 505 nucleotides long. The record is from Ensembl. Lineage: Eukaryota; Metazoa; Chordata; Aves; Galliformes; Phasianidae.
ACACAGCCAGAGCAGCCUCUGCUUGGCUUGACAAGCAGAGGGCUCACAGGAGACCUGUGGUGGACACAACACCUGGCCCAGCUCUGUGGGCCCUUUGGACUGCAGGGACUGGAGUUUGGAGCACUGGACAAGGCACAGAGGAUCAUGAUCUGGAGGACAGUCUGCCUGCAACUACUGAACCCAUGUAUCCACAGAGCAACGUAAACCCAAACACCUUAAACAAAGAGGAAACUGGAACUGGGGCCAGUAAACAGCAUGUCCAAAAGGAAGAGAGUCCUGGGAGGCAAGGAAAAUCAAAGGAAGAAAAAAAUGGCACCCAUUGAUAUUCAUCGACACUUGCUGAAUGUUUAUGGAUACCGAACAGUGGAUGUGAGCUCAGGGAGGUGGUGCGUGGUGCGUUUCAGCAGUGGUGACAGCAAUGUGACAGACAAACCACGUUCCAGACAGCUAUGCAUAUUUUUAUGAGCACAGCGUGCAGGCUUUUGUUCAUCGCCGGCAAAAAUGC